AUGUCAGUUUCAAAAUUGAGAGGAGGCAUCAGAUUCCGUGAUUUGGAGGUGUUUAAUGAUGCUAUGUUAGCAAAACAAGCUUGGCGCUUGUUGGACAACCCGAAAAGCCAUUGUGCACACGUCCUAAGGGAAAGGUACUACCCCGAUGGUGAUUUCUUGCAGGCUGGGUGCCCAGCUAGUGCGUUGGCCACUUGGAGAGCCAUCAUAUCGGGCAGAGAAGCACUGAAAAAGGGUUGA
This 237-nucleotide ribosomal RNA is filed under the name Triticum aestivum (bread wheat). RNAcentral describes it as "partial small subunit ribosomal RNA". Lineage: Eukaryota; Viridiplantae; Streptophyta; Magnoliopsida; Poales; Poaceae. The record is from RNAcentral.